UUCGUCCAAUGGAAGCAGAGGAAAGUGGCGGACGGGUGAGUAACGCGUGAGGAACCUGCCUUGAAGAGGGGGAUAACGAUUGGAAACGAUCGCUAAUACCGCAUGACAUAGCGGAACCGCAUGGUUCUGCUAUCAAAGAUUUUAUCGCUGAUAGAUGGGCUCGCGUCCGAUUAGAUAGUUGGUGGGGUAACGGCCUACCAAGUCGACGAUCAGUAGCCGGACUGAGAGGUUGAACGGCCACAUUGGGACUGAGACACGGCCCAGACUCC
This 269-nucleotide ribosomal RNA is filed under the name uncultured Eubacteriales bacterium. RNAcentral's name for it is "uncultured Clostridiales bacterium partial 16S ribosomal RNA". It matches the Rfam family "Bacterial small subunit ribosomal RNA", at positions 68 to 339 of the family's 1533-position model. Lineage: Bacteria; Bacillati; Bacillota; Clostridia; Eubacteriales. The record is from RNAcentral.